AUUUUGGCAACGAUCUGGCAUUGGGUAUAUUGGGACCUAGAAAUAUUCUCUGAUGAGCGGACGGGAAAACCCUCUUUGAAUUUGCCCAAGAUCUUUGGGAUUCAUUUAUUUCUUGCAGGGGUGGCUUGCUUUAGCUUUGGGGCAUUUCAUGUAACGGGUUUGUAUGGUCUUGGGAUAUGGGUAUCCGAUCCUUAUGGACUAACUGGAAAAGUACAAGCUGUAAAUCCAGCGUGGUGUGCAGAAGGUUUUGAUCCUUUUGUUCCCGGGGGGGUAGCUUCUCAUCAUAUUGCUGCGGGUACAUUGGGUCUAUUAGCGAGCUUAUUCUAUCUUAGUGUCCGUCCGCCUCAACGUCUAUAUAAAGGAUUACGUAUGGGCAAUAUUGAAACUAUACUUUCCAGUAGUAUCGCUGCUUUUUUUGCAGCUUUCGUAGUUGCUGGAACUAUGUGGUAUGGGUCAGCAAUGACCCCAAUCGAAUUAUUUGUUCCUACUCGUUAUUAGUGGGAUCAGGGAUACUUCCAGCAAGAAAUAUCGAAGAGUUAG
This 540-nucleotide ribosomal RNA is filed under the name Triticum aestivum (bread wheat). RNAcentral describes it as "partial small subunit ribosomal RNA". The record is from RNAcentral. Lineage: Eukaryota; Viridiplantae; Streptophyta; Magnoliopsida; Poales; Poaceae.